CCGCGUCAGUUAGCUGAGACAAGUAUGGCCGUCGUGCUGGAUCGGGUGCGUUUGCUGAGCUGUUUCUCGAGGAUAUUUACUUCUGUACCACACGUCGGAUAAUUUAACUCGUGCCACCGAGUGUAUACAAGAUCACCAUUAUAUCUACAGAUACCACGAUUAUCCAUCACGUCCAUGGCAAGCAGCAAGCAGUAGAACGCGCCUGAGAUGGUAGACGACAAUUUCCUGCGUCCUGCGCUUUAUCAAUCAACUUAUAUAUAAAUGAUGUGUUUUAUUAGUGUUAAAAUGUUGUACUGUUUUAAAUCUUUCAAAUAAAAGCAUUACUUCCAUUCCAUUG
Aedes albopictus (Asian tiger mosquito) is the source of this 337-nucleotide long non-coding RNA. RefSeq lists it as uncharacterized. The record is from RefSeq and is a predicted model, not a curated record. The transcript is spliced from 2 exons. NCBI's taxonomy places the organism in Eukaryota, Metazoa, Arthropoda, Insecta, Diptera, Culicidae.